RNAcentral lists this non-coding RNA (84 nucleotides) under human gut metagenome. RNAcentral's name for it is "Cyclic di-GMP-I riboswitch". It matches the Rfam family "c-di-GMP-I riboswitch aptamer", at positions 6 to 83 of the family's 87-position model. From Rfam's summary of the family: GEMM was predicted in a large-scale screen for bacterial structured RNA regulatory elements. Genes associated with GEMM are involved in a diverse array of functions, including chemotaxis regulation, signal transduction, secretion and chitin. The record is from RNAcentral.
AUAAACGGGCAAACUUUUCGAAAGAUUAGGACGCAAAGCUACGGGUCUAAUAUACAUGUUAUUGUAUGACGACGGCUGAGUUGC